AGAGUGAACGCUGGCGGCAGGCCUAACACAUGCAAGUCGAACGGCAGCACAGUAAGAGCUUGCUCUUAUGGGUGGCGAGUGGCGGACGGGUGAGGAAUACAUCGGAAUCUGCCUAUUUGUGGGGGAUAACGUAGGGAAGCUUACGCUAAUACCGCAUACGACCUACGGGUGAAAGCGGAGGACCUUCGGGCUUCGCGCAGAUAGAUGAGCCGAUGUCGGAUUAGCUAGUUGGUGGGGUAAAGGCCCACCAAGGCGACGAUCCGUAGCUGGUCUGAGAGGAUGAUCAGCCACACUGGAACUGAGACACGGUCCAGACUCCUACGGGAGGCAGCAGUGGGGAAUAUUGGACAAUGGGCGCAAGCCUGAUCCAGCCAUGCCGCGUGAGUGAAGAAGGCCCUUGGUUGUAAAGCUCUUUGUGGGAAGAAAGCAAUCGGUUAAUACCCGGUUGUCUGACGGUACCAAAGAAUAAGCACCGGCUAACUUCGUG
RNAcentral lists this ribosomal RNA (487 nucleotides) under uncultured soil bacterium. RNAcentral's name for it is "bacterial SSU rRNA". It matches the Rfam family "Bacterial small subunit ribosomal RNA", at positions 26 to 507 of the family's 1533-position model. The record is from RNAcentral.